UACAGAGACUGCAAGCGUUAUUCGGAUUCACUGGGCGUAAAGGGUGCGCAGGCGGCCGUGUGUGUCAGGUGUGAAAGCCCGGAGCUUAACUCCGGAAUUGCGCCUGAAACUACAUGGCUAGAGCAUUGGAGAGGGAAGUGGAAUUCACGGUGUAGCAGUGAAAUGCGUAGAUAUCGUGAGGAACACCAGUGGCGAAGGCGGCUCACUGGCCCGAUACUGACGCUGAGGCACGAAAGCGUGGGGAGCAAACAGG
This 253-nucleotide ribosomal RNA is filed under the name uncultured bacterium. RNAcentral's name for it is "partial 16S ribosomal RNA". It matches the Rfam family "Bacterial small subunit ribosomal RNA", at positions 524 to 776 of the family's 1533-position model. The record is from RNAcentral.